Molecule: small RNA, 28 nt
Filed under: Bombyx mori (domestic silkworm)
Lineage: Eukaryota; Metazoa; Arthropoda; Insecta; Lepidoptera; Bombycidae
Description: ovarian small RNA-19387
Source: RNAcentral
UAAGUAUUGCCUAUGCCAAGUUUUCCAA